This is an RNA transcript of Cebus imitator (Panamanian white-faced capuchin), 1074 nucleotides long. It is a transcript of the gene named HLA class II histocompatibility antigen, DRB1 beta chain-like, with no coding region annotated. The transcript has 5 exons. Lineage: Eukaryota; Metazoa; Chordata; Mammalia; Primates; Cebidae. The record is from RefSeq and is a predicted model, not a curated record.
AUGGCAGCGUCGCUGGCGGUGUCUUCCAGGGGCCGCCCCUGUGACCGCGUCAUUUGUGUCCCCACAGCACGUUUCUUGGAGCAGUUUGAGUGUCGUCCCCUCAACGGGACGGAGCGCGCGGCUCCUGGUCAGACACACCUACAACCGGGAGGAGUAUGUGGGUUCGACGGCGCCGUGGGGGGCUCCGGGCGGUGACGGAGCUGGGGCGGCCUGACCAACAGUACUACGACAGCCGGGAGGACAUCAUGGAGCAGACACGGGCCGCGGCGGACACCGUGUGCAGACGCGACGACAGGAUUCCUGAGAGGUUCCUGGUGCCGCGGAGAGUCCAACCUAAGGUGACUGUGUAUCCUGCAAAGACCCAGCCCCUGCAGCACCACAGCCUCCUGGUCUGCUCUGUGAGUGGGUUCUAUCCAGGCAGCAUUGAAGUCAGGUGGUUCCGGAACGACCAGGAAGAGAAGGCUGGGGUGGUGUCCACAGGCCUGAUCCAGAAUGGAGGCUGGACCUUCCAGACCCUGGUGAUGCUGGAAACAGUUCCUCAGAGUGGAGAGGUUUACAUCAGCCAAGUGGAGCACCCAAGCGUGAUGAGCCCUCUCACAGUGCAAUGGAGGGCACAGUCUGAAUCUGCACAGAGCAAGAUGCUGAGUGGACUCAGGGGCUUUGUGCUUGGCCUGCUCUUCUUGGGGCAGGGCUGUUCAUCUACUUCAGGAAUCAGAAAGGACGUUCUGCACUUUGGCCAUCGGGACUCCUGAGCUGAAGGGAAGGUGACCACAUUCAAGGAAGAACCUUCUGCCCCAGCUUUGCAGGAUGAAAAGCUUUCCCGCUUGGCUCUUAUUCUUCCACAAAAGAGAGAGCUUUCUCAGGACCUGGCUGCUACUGGUUCAGCAGCUCAGCAGGAAUGUCCUCCCUUGCGGCUUCCUCAGCUCCUGCCCUUGGCCUGAAAGCCCAGCAUUGAUAGCUAUGCCUCAAGGUCAAAUUUGUGCUCCCCUUCACCUAACCCUACAACCUCCCAUGCAUCUGUACUCACCCUGUGCCACAAACAUGUUACGUUAUUAAAUUUUUUGCAAACAUGGA